CACCGGCAGCUCUAGUGGUAGCAGUUUUUAUUGGGCCUAAAGCGUCCGUAGCCGGUUUAAUAAGUCUCUGGUGAAAUCCUGUAGCUUAACUGUGGGAAUUGCUGGAGAUACUAUUAGACUUGAGACCGGGAGAGGUUAGAGGUACUCCCAGGGUAGAGGUGAAAUUCUGUAAUCCUGGGAGGACCGCCUGUUGCGAAGGCGUCUAACUGGAACGGUUCUGACGGUGAGGGACGAAAGUUAGGGGCGCGAACCGG
RNAcentral lists this ribosomal RNA (254 nucleotides) under uncultured bacterium. RNAcentral's name for it is "partial 16S ribosomal RNA". It matches the Rfam family "Archaeal small subunit ribosomal RNA", at positions 474 to 727 of the family's 1478-position model. The record is from RNAcentral.